RNAcentral lists this ribosomal RNA (490 nucleotides) under uncultured bacterium. RNAcentral's name for it is "partial 16S ribosomal RNA". It matches the Rfam family "Bacterial small subunit ribosomal RNA", at positions 30 to 507 of the family's 1533-position model. The record is from RNAcentral.
AUUGAACGCUGGCGGCAGGCCUAACACAUGCAAGUCGAACGGUAACAGGAAGCAGCUUGCUGCUUCGCUGACGAGUGGCGGACGGGUGAGUAAUGUCUGGGAAGCUGCCUGAUGGAGGGGGAUAACUACUGGAAACGGUAGCUAAUACCGCAUAAUGUCGCAAGACCAAAGAGGGGGACCUUCGGGCCUCUUGCCAUCGGAUGUGCCCAGAUGGGAUUAGCUUGUUGGUGGGGUAACGGCUCACCAAGGCGACGAUCCCUAGCUGGUCUGAGAGGAUGACCAGCCACACUGGAACUGAGACACGGUCCAGACUCCUACGGGAGGCAUCAGUGGGGAAUAUUGCACAAUGGGCGCAAGCCUGAUGCAGCCAUGCCGCGUGUAUGAAGAAGGCCUUCGGGUUGUAAAGUACUUUCAGCGGGGAGGAAGGGAGUAAAGUUAAUACCUUUGCUCAUUGACGUUACCCGCAGAAGAAGCGCCGGCUAACUCCGUG